UAACUACUUGUUAUAAAGCGUAAACAUUACGUACACGCAUGCGUAUUAACAUGUUCCGUUGUUUACGAUGUUCAUGAUUCUUUGUCGGUAAUAUCCAAUCGUGUUCCAUCUCACCAGUGCACAUGAUUCAAUUUCACAUGGUACGUGAUCUCGAAAUUGAACGAUUUCUGUCAUUUUUCAAGAUUCAAAUAAAUUUUCCAUUCAAGUAAAAAUAUGUGGAACGUUCGAUGCCUCACACGAAAUGUAUGCGUGAUAAAACAAUUAUUUAAAAUUAAUUGUCACACCGAAAACCUUAAACAAGGAGAACCUUUUGUGCGUCCCAUUAUUUAACCUUGAAUUAUGGAUACACGUGCUACAUGAAGAAUCGUUCGAAGAUCGUUCUUGCUCCUUUCACCUCAGCUGCUUAUGAAUCGACCAGUUUGUCAAAAAAUUUAUCUGCCGGAAUCAAAUAAUAUCAAAACUUACUAUAUGAAAUUGUUUUCAUUUUUGAAAACUGGACUAAUGUUAACACGCGGAAUAAAUUUGUGGACAUUCUUCACACUUCGCGAAACAAGAGAUCCAGUAAAGUGAUAAUCGCAUUUGGAUGAGUCACCAAUGAUUGAAAAAAAAA
Long non-coding RNA from Apis dorsata (giant honeybee), 610 nucleotides. RefSeq lists it as uncharacterized. Lineage: Eukaryota; Metazoa; Arthropoda; Insecta; Hymenoptera; Apidae. The record is from RefSeq and is a predicted model, not a curated record. The transcript is spliced from 2 exons.